Molecule: long non-coding RNA, 547 nt
Organism: Nematostella vectensis (starlet sea anemone)
Lineage: Eukaryota; Metazoa; Cnidaria; Anthozoa; Actiniaria; Edwardsiidae
Exons: 2
Source: RefSeq, a predicted model, not a curated record
UCUGACGUUUUUCAUACAAGAAAUCGUUUGCUUUUCACUGUUUUAACAAGGUUUCUCUGUGAUAAAAAUGCGUUGAGUUUUCUAUUUUUCGAGGGUGUCAAAUUGUCAUGUUGCUUGGCCUUUACUGCAAAGUUCAAAUCAACUUCCACUGUCUACAUAUUGCAACCCUGUUUUUUCUAUCAACAAUGAAUGUCUCACGGCUUGGUGAUUCAAUUAAGCGCUUUCUUGGCCUUAUGGCCUGUUGUAGAACUUUCGCCUGAAGGAAUGCUUUAAAACACCUUGCUGAGGAGUUGCAAUGAAAUGCCUGUAUUCAAGACAAAGUGCCCGUUGACAAGUUACCGCAAGUUAGCACUAGAAAUUCAAGCAUUUUUGGCUUGGCUGAGCGUUGAGGGAAACAAUCCAUCACUUCAAUGUGUAAUAACGAAAUAAAGUCAAAAUGUCUAGGCCCUCCGGUGAACUGACAUUCAGACUUUGCAGAGUUACAAUCUUUAUACUGCAUUACGGUCUGACAGACAUAUCAAACGUAUUAAAAAGGAGGCAAAAUAAA